Gallus gallus (chicken) is the source of this 1570-nucleotide long non-coding RNA. NCBI's taxonomy places the organism in Eukaryota, Metazoa, Chordata, Aves, Galliformes, Phasianidae. The record is from Ensembl.
UUAAGCUGACACAAACCAGCAUUGCUGCCAAAAGAAAUACAGCCCUUCCCCUGGUUCAGCACAGCUGUUUUUGCAGCUCUGCAGAGACGUGGGUUGGGAAAUUCUUACAGUAAAAAUAGCAAACAAAAAAUAAGGCACAUUGAGUUCAUAACCUUAACCACCUUCUAGAGAUCCACUGUAAUUUAUGUCAGUGCCUAAUGGUCACCUUAUCCUCUGAGAGCAGUACUUCUUGAUUGAACUGUAUUUCUUAUGAUAAACAACUCCUUCUGUGAGGUCUGCAAGUGUUGGGCCUGCAGGAAACCAAAAGGCUCUGUAUGCUUUCCAUUAUAAUGGAGCCCUAUUCAACUAGCCACGAUAACUCUGAGAAUAACCACAUCCUUUUCCAGGGAGAAGCAGGAAAAACAGCCAGAAGUGAAGGAAAGAUGGAGCCAAGGUGGAUGCUCCGUGCUGCUGACAUCAUGAGCAGAGCUGCCCCAGCCCUGGGGACGUCCCUCUGCCCUCAGCACCGCAGCAGCAGCGUGGGCUUUGCUGGUUCUCCUGGCCCUUUUCUUCCUUACCCAGGAAAACAGCUCAGGCCGUGGCUCAGAAAGAGCCUCUCGUUGCCUCCCAAUUAAUUGCGCAGCCGAGUCUGUGCUCUUUGAUGUCACUGCUGUGAGCGCUGAUAAAAUUUGAGGAGCUUUAGAGCAUGGAAGUUGCCGCAGACAGUUUUUCUUGUUGCUUGUGUGUCAAUACCCUAUCGAGUCAGCAAUUAUCCUAAACACUUACUGCAAGCCAAUGCAAAAUAAAGGAAAAUUUUCUCAGUAAUCAUUUUUUAUAAGACUCUUCCACUGCAUCCCGCUCCCCAUGCAAAUUCAUGUGUGCUUGCUGGCUCUUAUAGAAUUCUUGGAAUUACUGUGCAGAAAUGUUCUUACAGCCAGACACUCCAAAAACUUCAGCAUUUGGACAGGAAGGACACGUCCAUCCACAGACACCUAUGACCACACAGCGCCCAGCACCACCAGCAGAAUCUGCCAUUCUGCACGAUACUGCAUCCUCUGACAUUUGCAACAGCAUGGCUCUGCAACACGAUGGAAAAAAGGUUCUGCAUUUACAAAUGCCACAGGAGUGAAGAUGAAGCAAGCAAGCACUGGCACCCAGCUGUUGGAACCAACAGCACCACGGAGCAGGGGGCGGGGGCCAGGAUUAGCAUGCUGCUCACACGCUCACCGCCUUCUCUAAUCACAAUGCAGGCAUUAUCAGCGAGCGGCGAAUCUUUGUAUUAUUUCCAAGUUUCCCCUAUUGUCAGUCAUUGUGACAAAGCGCAGGACGAUCUGACACAAUGAUGAAUCACUCCCGACAUUGAGUUUUCACGGGGCUGUCAGGCGAUCUCAGUAGGCUGCAUCACCUGGAAAUGCCACAGGAUUCAAACACAAGAACAAAAGCAGAGUUUGGGAUCAACUCCGCUGACUCGGGAUAUGAGCAGGGGAGUUGGAGGGCUGACUCGGGGUCUUCUCAUCCACACAUCUCUGUGUUCUUCCGGCGUGAAUGAAACCGCAGGGCUUAUUAAAACAUCCAGCAUGCAAAUAGGAGG